Molecule: transfer RNA, 61 nt
Filed under: Ictidomys tridecemlineatus (thirteen-lined ground squirrel)
Lineage: Eukaryota; Metazoa; Chordata; Mammalia; Rodentia; Sciuridae
Description: Spermophilus tridecemlineatus (thirteen-lined ground squirrel) tRNA
Rfam family: tRNA
About the family: Transfer RNA (tRNA) molecules are approximately 80 nucleotides in length.
Source: Rfam by way of RNAcentral
UGUAGCUCAAUGGUAGAGCACUUGCCUCACAUGCACAAGGCCCUGGGUGCAAUCCCCAGCA